AAAGAAUGAGGCAUAUAAUGUGUGUGUUCUGUUUUGAUGUUGACUGGGGACUGCCUUUUACCCCCACACUCGUGCCAGCAUGGUGUCACAAGUUUCCACUUGCUUGGUCCUUUAAAUAUUAGAUGGAAAACACUAUUCUGAAUUUUGUUCGGGAUCGGCCUUUGGCCCUCUUAUUAUUUAAGUUGGGAAGCUCGGGAUCAAUGUACCUUUCAAGAAGUUGCUGGAUACAGAGUAGGAUGAACAAGUAUUCCUAAAGGAAUGAUCAGCAAUUCAGCAUGAGUAUUUAUGCUGAUUGGCUGUUCUUUCCGUGACAGUGAUGAUCAUUUACGCAAUGUUCUCACAUUUUACGGAUAACUGAUUGAACAAUUUAGGGAAAGAUGUAAAUAUAUCGAAUGCCUGGCCAAUUUUUUGAUGUCAUUAGUCGACUUGCAAGCGAGUUACAGAGAUAGUAGUACUUUUUUUGUUAUGUAAAGCCUCUCGAGCCUUGAUUUUGUUUACGUUGAUAUUGUAUUAGUAAUUGAUUUAUUCUUGUUUUUUUCUGUUUAUUUAAAGUUAUUUACCAGCAUAACGAAACGGUGUAUCUUGUUUGCCACGAAUUUCUUAUAACAAAAAUAUGAGAAAUUUCUUUACAUAAUUUGUUAACAAAAACUUGUUCUGCUUACUUAACAAUAAAAUGUAUGUUUUGUAUCUCGCUUAAAUUGUAACCUGAUUUCUUAAUUAAUAAUUCAUUGUGGCUAUUGUUUCUUGUUACAAAUCUGAUUCGUGAUAUCAAGUUGACAUUUUUUUUAAUUGUAUGAUAAAUUAAUUCCUAGCUUUCUGAUUGGCUGAUAUCCAAUAAUCUAGAAAAUAAAGGUUUUAGCUACUCUCCUUAAAAUACAAUAUAGCACUUCUCGGGUAGAUAAAUCAUUGUUUUGACAUAAACAGAGGAGCAAUAAUUGUUUUGUUAUGCAUGUAUUUAUAACGAAAAUAGCAAAGGAAAAAUGUACGUGGGGGCUAAAUUCUGUUUAACUAUUAAUGAGAUCAUCUGAAUUACCUUCAUUACAAAAAGAACCAAUAACAAAAAUCAAUAAAGGUGAAAAAAACAUGUUGAGCUGCAAAUUUGAGACCAUUCGUGUAAGAGGGAUGACCGGUCAAGGCCAUUUCUAGACAAUAUUAAUCUCCUUUUGAAGGAGAGCUCUGGAAAAAGAUGUAUAAAAAUCAAAUGUCCAAAUAUAUCGAUUUUCUCUUCUCUAAAUAAAAUAAUGUGCUGUAAAUAAGAUUGACAUAUAUUGUUUAUCUACAUGUAAGUUUAUGGGAUCAGCAUGUGGAUAGUUCACUUUUGUAUGAUCGUGAAAACAGUUUGGAGUCUGAUUCCAUAUUUGAUAUACAUGUAGUUAAUUUCCAUUAUUUUCGUCAUUUGCAAUUAUUAAUGACAUAUUUCAUCUCAGCAGGGGUAUUUGAUUCAAUUUUCAACACAGUUAAAACCGUUGUAGUGAGAUUGAGAUUAUCUGAUGGGUACUACGUUAACCACCCUGCCUCCCUAUUGUAUAUAAGUAAAUGGAAAACGUGGACAAGACAACCAAAUAAUGAAAUUAUGGGUCAAUUUUUAAACCUGUUAUAGCAUUUAAAUUCCUUUAUUUUCAAUACAUAGUGGAAAAUAUGAAGUUUAAUUGUAACAUUCCGAUGAAUCCGAGCUUUACGUUUGGUGGUUUGCAUUCAUGUGGUGGCAAGAGCGAUAACUUUGUAAUAUAUUUAAGAUACAGAUACGCUCUUAUUAUUUACCUUUAAUUACCAAAGUCAUUGUUGCUUAUAGUAGGAAAAAAAGUGUUGAUUGCUAACAAUGUUUAUGAAUUUCAGCACAGAGUUUAACAAAAAAUACAUUUACAAAAAGCUAUUGCGAAUUAUUAAAAAAAUGCAUCGUCAGAUUGAAUGUUUAUUGAACGUAAAAUAAUACAUUUCAAAAUAAAUAUAAUUUGAAGACUUUAACAAAACAUACAUAUAUUUUUAAAUAAAAAAAAUAAAUGUGAGCAAUAAAAAGUCAGAAAUACUGAUUGGUACUG
Molecule: long non-coding RNA, 2039 nt
Organism: Magallana angulata
Lineage: Eukaryota; Metazoa; Mollusca; Bivalvia; Ostreida; Ostreidae
Exons: 2
Source: RefSeq, a predicted model, not a curated record